GCCAGACUCCUACGGGAGGCAGCAGUCGGGAAUAUUGCGCAAUGGAGGAAACUCUGACGCAGUGACGCCGCGUAUAGGAAGAAGGUUUUCGGAUUGUAAACUAUUGUCGUUAGGGAAGAUAAAAGACAGUACCUAAGGAGGAAGCUCCGGCUAACUACGUGCCAGCAGCCGCGGUAAUACGUAGGGGGCAAGCGUUAUCCGGAUUUACUGGGUGUAAAGGGGGCGCAGACGGCAAUGCAAGCCAGGAGUGAAAGCCCGGGGCCCAACCCCGGGACUGCUCUUGGAACUGCAUGGCUGGAGUACAGGAGGGGCGGGCGGAAUUCCUAGUGUAGCGGUGAAAUGCGUAGAUAUUAGGAGGAACACCGGUGGCGAAGGCGGCCUGCUGGACUGUGACUGACGUUGAGGCCCGAAGGCGUGGGGAGCAAACAGGAUUAGAUACCCUUGUA
Molecule: ribosomal RNA, 446 nt
Filed under: uncultured bacterium
Lineage: Bacteria
Description: bacterial SSU rRNA
Rfam family: Bacterial small subunit ribosomal RNA
Source: RNAcentral